This 2309-nucleotide ribosomal RNA is filed under the name Neonemura sp. BYU_PL153. RNAcentral describes it as "eukaryotic LSU rRNA". It matches the Rfam family "Eukaryotic large subunit ribosomal RNA", at positions 60 to 1878 of the family's 3401-position model. The record is from RNAcentral. Lineage: Eukaryota; Metazoa; Arthropoda; Insecta; Plecoptera; Notonemouridae.
AGAUACUAGGAUUCCCUUAGUAGCUGCGAGCGAACAGGGACGAGCCCAGCACUGAAUCCUGCGCGCCUAGCGCGCGUCUGGAAAUGUAGUGUUUGGGAGGGGCCGAUCAUCUCGUGAGAGCGCACCAGUCCAAGUCCAUCUUGAAAGCGGCCACAGCCCGUAGAGGGUGCCAGGCCCGUAGGACGGUGGCGACGUACUCGAACGAAAGGUCCUCUCCCUAGAGUCGGGUUGCUUGAGAGUGCAGCUCUAAGCGGGUGGUAAACUCCAUCUAAGGCUAAAUACGACCACAAGACCGAUAGCGAACAAGUACCGUGAGGGAAAGUUGAAAAGAACUUUGAAGAGAGAGUUCAAGAGUACGUGAAACCGUUCGGGGGUAAACGGACGAAAUCUGGAAAAUCGAGGCGAGAGAUUCAAGCCCCAGCCGCCGUGUGUCGAGCGGCGUCCGCCGAUGGCGGCCCGGCGCCCGCGUGUCGCAGCAAUGCGCGCCGGUGUCGUUUGGCCCGUUCACUGUCGGGCGCAACUCGCGCCGGCCUCGGGCCGCACUUUUCUCGUAGUAGUACGUCGCGACCCGUUGGGCGCGCGUCUAAGGCCCGCACACGGAGCCGAUCUCGGUCGGCACGCGUCCGCUCCGCUCUCAGGCGGUGGCGGUCGUGUGCCGCGCCCGGUCGCCCGCGGUGACCCGAUGCGCACCCGACGGUAGAGGCAAAGACGAUUCGCAUGUCGUGCGGCAUCUCUCGGGUGUUGCGCGGCGCGUUCCCUCUGAAGCGCGCUCUUAGUUGAGUGCGGGACAGGGUGGUCCGUCUAGUCGGCGGCGCUCUAUCCGGAGCAUCAUCCGACCCGUCUUGAAACACGGACCAAGGAGUCUAACAUGUGCGCGAGUCAUUGGGACCGUACGAAACCUAGAGGCGUAAUGAAAGUGAACGUCGGCCGCCUCGGCGGCCGGCGGAGGGGAGAUGGCGGCCGGCCGAGCGUCGCGCCGCCCGCAUCCCCGGGGCGUCUCGUUGUCAUUGCGACACAGCAGGCGCACCCAGAGCGUACACGUUGGGACCCGAAAGAUGGUGAACUAUGCCUGGUCAGGUCGAAGUCAGGGGAAACCCUGAUGGAGGACCGUAGCGAUUCUGACGUGCAAAUCGAUCGUCAGAGCUGGGUAUAGGGGCGAAAGACUAAUCGAACCAUCUAGUAGCUGGUUCCCUCCGAAGUUUCCCUCAGGAUAGCUGGCACUCGGAGUUUUUACCAUUGUGUGCGGUCCGUCGGCGGCGGCGCUUCGGCGUCGCCGUGCGCGCGCACACGGCAACCAGUCUCAUCUGGUAAAGCGAAUGAUUAGAGGCCUUGGGGCCGAAACGACCUCAACCUAUUCUCAAACUUUAAAUGGGUGAGACAUUCGACUUGCUUAAAUGCCAAUGUCGUUGAAGUCUAAAUACGGAUGAAAGAGUGCCAAGUGGGCCAAUUUUGGUAAGCAGAACUGGUGCUGUGGGAUGAACCAAACGUCGCGUUAAGGCGCCUAAAUCGAUGCUCAUGGGAUACCAUGAAAGGCGUUGGUUGCUUAAGACAGCAGGACGGUGGCCAUGGAAGUCGGAAUCCGCUAAGGAGUGUGUAACAACUCACCUGCCGAAGCAACUAGCCCUGAAAAUGGAUGGCGCUCAAGCAUCGUGCCUAUACGCGACCGUCACUGGCAAACGGGCCGCGCCGCCCUCGCGGGUGAGGCCGGUCCACGAGGUCGUGACGAGUAGGAGGGUCGCGACGGUGUGCGCAGAAGUGUUGGUCGCGAGACUGCAUGGAGCCGCCGUCGGUGCAGAUCUUGGUGGUAGUAGCAAAUACACUAGCGAGGCCCUGGUGGACUGAUGUGGAGAAGGGUUUCGUGUGAACAGCCGUUGCACACGAGUCAGUCGAUCCUAAGCCCCAGGAGAAUUCCGAUGUUGAUGUGCUGUCGUUUUCUCGAAAACACGUACGUGUGCAAAUACUGCGUGCAAUCUGAUUGACCACAUCGGGCGAAAGGGAAUCCGGUUCCUAUUCCGGAACCCGGCUGCGGAACCGACAUGCGGGCCACUCUGCAGCAAUGCAGAACUCGUCGGGGUAACCCAAAAGGACCCGGAGACGCCGUCGGAUGAUCGAGGCAGAGUUUUCUGUUCUGUAUGAGCGUUCGAGUUCCCUGGAAUCGCCUAGCGCGGAGAUAGGGUUUGGAACGCGAAGAGCACCGCACUUGCGGCGGUGUCUCGAUCUAUCCCUCGGACCUUGAAAAUCCGGGAGAGGGCCACGUGGAGGUGUCGCGCCGGUUCGUACCCAUAUCCGCAGCAGUCUCCAAGUGAGGA